Molecule: ribosomal RNA, 274 nt
Filed under: uncultured bacterium
Lineage: Bacteria
Description: partial 16S ribosomal RNA
Rfam family: Bacterial small subunit ribosomal RNA
Source: RNAcentral
AUACGGAGGGUGCGAGCGUUAAUCGGAAUUACUGGGCGUAAAGCGCGCGUAGGCGGUUUUGUAAGUCGGAUGUGAAAGCCCCGGGCUUAACCUGGGAACUGCAUUCGAAACUGCAAGACUGGAGUAUGGGAGAGGGAAGUGGAAUUUCCGGUGUAGCGGUGAAAUGCGUAGAUAUCGGAAGGAACACCAGUGGCGAAGGCGACUUCCUGGCCCAAUACUGACGCUGAGGUGCGAAAGCGUGGGGAGCAAACAGAAUUAGAAACCCGAGUAGUCC